RNAcentral lists this ribosomal RNA (164 nucleotides) under uncultured bacterium. Its description in RNAcentral is "partial 16S rRNA". It matches the Rfam family "Bacterial small subunit ribosomal RNA", at positions 355 to 511 of the family's 1533-position model. The record is from RNAcentral.
UGGGGAAUUUUCCGCAAUGGGCGAAAGCCUGACGGAGCAAUGCCGCGUGUGUGAUGAAGGGUUUCGGCUCGUAAAACACUGUUGUAAGAGAAGAAUGACAUUGAGAGUAACUGUUCAAUGUGUGACGGUAUCUUACCAGAAAGGAACGGCUAAAUACGUGCCAG